Long non-coding RNA from Xiphias gladius (swordfish), 735 nucleotides. RefSeq lists it as uncharacterized. The record is from RefSeq and is a predicted model, not a curated record. NCBI's taxonomy places the organism in Eukaryota, Metazoa, Chordata, Actinopteri, Istiophoriformes, Xiphiidae. The transcript has 3 exons.
CAAACAACAGAUCAAGCCAGCUCCUUUGUACCUGAUUCGAGUGGUGGAGAAGCCAUUUGAGUAUCUGCUUCUUGAUUGUGUGGGUCCGCUUUCGAAGAGUAAGGUUGAUGUUAAAACCAAGACAGUCCUGAAAGCUUUGACUAUCUUCAUGACUACCUUCAGAAUCCCAAAAGUGGUGCAAACUGAUCAGACAAUCUUACAUUGGAACCUGUUUGGCCAGAAGCCACUUCAUCAUUGUAAUUCCCUUCCAUCCACUCAUACUUCUUGGAUUUGAUAUUGUGUUCUUUGGGAUGAGGACGAGGACCCGAAUGACUCUAAUGAUGAUGACAAGGAAGACAAAAUUGCCAUUAUCAAUCAAUCUUUGCAUCAAUGUUAAUGAUAAUGUUGACAAUAAUGAUAAUGAUGUCAACAAUAAAAAUUAAAAAAAAUGUUGACAACAAUGCCCAAAAUGAUGAUGAUGAUGAUGAUAACAAUAACGGUCAUCAAGUUAUGGAUGCUGGUGCAGUUGCUGCGGUUGUCAUGGAAGUCAACCAGGAUGUAGAAGAAGCAGAGGAUGACCCACUGACAGGAGGAUCCCAGAGGAUUGUUUUUUUAGCUCCUUAAUGUUUUUGUAAGGGAUUUUUUCUUUGUUCUCAGUCAGGGGCAUUCAGGUUAUGGAGUGUGUCAUUUGUAUUCAAUGUGGACACUAAAACCUUCUGUCAAACCGUAAAACUUUAAAUAAAGGUAAAGCUUUAA